GGAUGUGAGGGCAAUCUGGCUGUGACAUCUGUCACCCCAUUGAUCGCCAGGGUUGAUUUGGCUGAUCUGGCUGGCUAGGCGGGUGUCCCCUUCCUCCCUCAAUGAUCCAUGUGCGUCCCUCCCGAAGCUGCCCACUCGGUCGAAGAGGAUGACCACCCCCGAUAGAGGAGGACUGUUCCUCGGUCAAGGGUAUACGAGUAGCUGCGCUCCCCUGCUAGAACCUCCAAACAAGCUCUCAAAAAUACAUGACAUUGACUUUUGAGUCUUCUGUAGCCCUGGGUUUGUGAAAAACAGAUGCAUGAGGCUAGUGACUUGAACUUAGAUGU
RNAcentral lists this small RNA (326 nucleotides) under Octodon degus (degu). Its description in RNAcentral is "7SK RNA (ENSODEG00000024523.1)". It matches the Rfam family "7SK RNA", at positions 1 to 260 of the family's 331-position model. Rfam says of the family: 7SK was discovered as an abundant small nuclear RNA in the mid-70s but a possible function has only recently been suggested. Two independent studies have found that 7SK RNA binds the CDK9/cyclin T complex (known as elongation factor P-TEFb). The record is from RNAcentral. Lineage: Eukaryota; Metazoa; Chordata; Mammalia; Rodentia; Octodontidae.